Long non-coding RNA from Heterocephalus glaber (naked mole-rat), 5245 nucleotides. The record is from Ensembl. NCBI's taxonomy places the organism in Eukaryota, Metazoa, Chordata, Mammalia, Rodentia, Bathyergidae.
GGGUGGGGUGGGGGUGGCUCCUCCGCGCGGCCCUUCCCCAGCUCGUGCGCUGCCUGAGCCUGCCAGGGCUCCCGCCUGGCCCACAGUCGGAUAGGAAAAGGAACUCGCGGGCCAGAGGCUCCAGCAAGAGUAUACAAAUCCAACUUUAUCAUUUCAUUCAAAUGUCAUAACAGUCCCAUAUUUUAACGAUUUCAGAUGACACCUUGAGUAUAAACUCAGUUUCUAUACGUUUGUGUUUAUUUCCUGUAUUUCGUUCCAUUGAUCUGUGUGCACAUACAUAUUGUGGCUUUGUGAUAGGGCUCACUGUCUCUUAAGAAGAGUCGGUUGUUGAGUAUGUUUUGGAUUGAUCCAGGGAAAGUGGUAGGGACAGAAUAGGUCCACAGUUCAGAACGGGCCUGUCAGGCAUGUCCAGCACUUUUGGAUUGGUAGGUGGGGCAAUAAGGACAGCAUAUUGACCUUAGCAAGCUCUUCAGGUUUUCAGUGUCGUGUGGCCAGCGAAUGGUAGGAAGGUUGAUUAAAUUAUUCAAGCAGUCAAUGCUCACCCCCAACAGGUAGCAAAUCAGGGUUUUCCUGGAGUGUCAUAGUGUGCUUCAGACUUUGGCCAGAAUUACUGUAAAUAGUUUAAUUAUAAAUCACUUUAUUAAGAAUUCACAAGACAGAGGCUGGGGAUUUAGCUCAGUGGUUCUGGCGCCUGCCUCGAAAGCACAAGGUCCUGAGUUCGAUCCCCAGUACCAAAAAAAAAAAAAAAAAAAGCACAAGACAAAAUUGGAAGGCUGUUGUUUGGAAUUAGCUAACAAGGAUUUUUAAAAAGUUGGACAGGACCAGGGUGUGGUGUCACGUCUCUGUAAUCCCAGUAGUUGGGAGGCUGAGGCAGGAGGAUCAGUAAUUUGAGGCCACCUUGAGCUACCUGGUGAAACCCUGUCUCAAAAAAGGAAAGCUAAAAAAACAGAAACCUCCACUAGCAUGUGGUAGGCCCUGGGUUUGUUCCCCAGCACUACUGGAAAAAAAGUUAAGGUAGAAUUUCACAGAUCAGAUUGUGCUCUGCCUUUGGGCCACCCGGUUAUGUAAAUGCAGGAGGAGUAUGUGUAUAGCAGAAAUAGAGGCGUUCAGGGCUGUCUAGGGGAGCUAUGGGGACCUUCCUACACAGGUUCGCUGGAGUACAGGCAAAUGCAGCAGGUGGUGCAGAGGUGGAGGAGCAGGGAUGCAACUGGAUGGUUUGCAAGGCUUGUUAGUGAAGGGCCUCAAAAUUGUGCUUAGCGGUUUGGGCUUUCUAAGUAGUGAGGAUUCCUUUAAGGCUUAUCCUUAGGAGGGAACUGACUUGUUCUAUUUCCAGUCAGCUUUGACAUCCUUGGGGCGGGGGGAAUUGGAGCCCAAGAGAUGAGAAAGGAGAUGUGCUGGCAGAGUUUAGGGAGGAGGAUAGUGGGAGAGCUGACUUUGGUCAGGAGCCAAGAGUGGGAACAAGGGGCUUGAGCUGCCUUACCGUGCCAGAGUCCCUUCAGCCUGCCACCUGGACUCAGUUGCCACAUAGCCACAGACACUGCAGUUCCAGGGACCCUUGCCACAGCUGGCUGGGCUGAGCUGUCCCAGUUUUCCUUCUUUUCCUAGAAAGAGCUGGCUGCCCAGCCCAGCAUUCCACAUUCUGUUGUCUCUUAAGUAUGAUAAGUCAGUGUCCUUACUGUUUACACUGUUGGAAUCUGGAAUCUAAAUGAUUUCCCAAACGACAAGGCCUGGAGACAAGGGAGUAGUUUUAGGAUGGAAGAGGUAAAAGAGACAAUUUACAGAAGUAUUUCUUGUGCUUAUGUUGAACAAGCAAGUACAGGGGAAACAUACAUGAUACCUCUCCAGAGGAAUUCAUGAUCUGGUAACAUUGUAGAAUGUAUCACUUGAACAGCACCUGUGGGGAAUAAGCAACUGCAGAUGUGGGGUUUGGACCUCAGGAGAGGGCUGGACUGGAGACCUGGGAGGUGGGAAAUCACCGGGGGAGUUGAUUGGAAUGAAAAGCGGUGUGAGUAUAGAACCAAGAUAACACCACAUUUAGGGCCAACAGGGGCCUUUCAAGGAGAGCAAAGAGAACUUGAAGAGGAGCCAGGCGGGGUGGCAGAUGCCUGAAUUCCCAGCUUUCAGAAGCUGAGGCAGAAGGAUUGCAAGUUUGAGGCCCACCCUAGACCCUGUCUCAAAAUAAAAAGAAAAAUGGGCUGGGGAUGUAGCUCAGAGCAAAGGCCCUAGAUUUAAUCUCCAAUAUCUAAAAGUAAAAACAAACAAAAGUGGGUAGGGUGGUGUCUCAGUAAAUAUGAGAAGUUUCAGGCAGGAGGGGGAAAAAUCAGUCUUUUUGAGAAAUGCCUGUCGGAUGUGUCACCAUUCAGUGACCUCAUAGCACAGUCUGUCGAAGCUUCCCUGCUCUUAAAGGCCUGAGCCCAUCGACACGGAGAAUGGGCUGGACUGUAGGAUACUCCUGGACCUGCACACCCUUCUCCCUCACUUCUUGCAAGCCAAGGAGACUUGGAGGGGCAGCUGUCAGCAUAGAUCCUGUGGAGCCUACAGGUGCCACUUCCCUGGCUUUGGUCUCCACAGGUUGAUCUUCAGUCCUCCUGCCUGGUUUACCCUUCCAGUUCUGGUCUCUGCCUGCUUGGAUACUGUUUUAAAAGGCUCAAUGAAUGGCCUCUCUGCUACCUGGCCAGUGGGUUUCUCUACAGUAACUCAUCUGUAGCAUCCUCUGGGCAGGGACUGUGUUGGGAAUUCUUUUCUCCCUGUGGUUCCUAGUAAACUGCUUGGCAUAAAGGAGGUAUGAGAGGAUGGAGUGGCAGGGAGGGUGGUAAAUGAAUGUUUCUGUGGGUGAUCCAGAGUCCAAGAGAAAGCUGUCAUUCCUAGUCCUUUGUGAUUGUGCUUGGCCUUCCUUAUUUGUGUUGGAUUAUCCCAGGUUCCUUCAUCUUUUUGACUUGGAAUUCCAAGCUGGUGGAUGGUAUAAAAUGAUCGGAGGACAGUCGGGGAUUUAGCUCAGUGGUUCUGCCGCCUGCCUCGAAACCACAAGGUCCCGAGUUUGAUCCCCAGUACCAUAAAUAAACAAAUUAAAUUAAAUAAAAAGGGCAACUGAAUUUAGAUAGUGUCUGAGACCCAAGAAUAUGGCUUAAUCACUGCUUUACCACAUAGGAGAUGGAGAAACAAGCUAUGGUAGACUUGAAGGACUUGUGGUCAAAAAGAUAUAUAAUAAAAAUAAGAUAAUAUAAUAAAAUAAGAUAUGUAAUAAAAAUAAGAUUCAUUUAUUCUUUCAUUCUUGGAGACAGCUUCUUGUUCUACUCUGGAUUGAUUCAUUAUUCUUUUGAUCUGAUUUCCUUGUUGUUCAGAACUGCCCUUACCUGUUUCCUGGAUCCCAUGGCUCCAGUAGCUUUUUGAGAAAGGCUGCAAAGAAGAUAAAAAGAUUUACUUCAUACAGUUCUGAAAAUAAAUUUAUUUUAACAUUUAACAAUAUGGUCAGUUACAGGAGGUCAGAAUAUAUUUUCCCUUAAAUUUCUGUAGAUAUUUUCCCAUUUCCUCUGGUUUCCGAUUUGGUGCCACCAGGUGUGGUGGCAUAGGGCUGUAAUCCUUACACUUGGGCUGAGGCAGGAGGAUUGCUGGGAGUUCAAGGCCAGCCUGGACUACAUAGCAAGACCCUGUCUUAAAAAAGAAAGUUUGGGGGCUGGGGAUUUAGCUGACUGGUUCUGCUGCCUGCCUUGCAAGCGCAAGGUCCUGAGUUUGAUCCCCAGUACCAAAAAAACAAAGAAAAAGAAAGUUUGAUGCCAUUUUGACUCACUUUCCAUUUGACCUUUCUUUUUUUUCCCCUUGUCCCUACCAUUUUGAAUUUUACAGUGGAGUGUCUUGUUCCAAGUCUGUUUAUAUUCAUUUUAUUGACAUUUAUUGGGUUGAAUCAAUCUGGAACUAAUAUUCCUUUAUUUCUAGAAAAUUUUCUCAUAAUUUUUUUGGUUUUCUUUCUUUUCAUUGUUUUUUUCUUCUCUCAUUUGGAAAUCCUACUGUGUAUUUAGAUGUUGAAUUUUGAAUGUAUUUCCUAAUUUUCCCUACCAUUUCUCCCUUGUUUUCUAUUUCUCUGUCUUUUUGUUCUGGGAGAUUUCAUUAACGUUUCCUCCAAAGCUUCUUUUGAAAUUUUAGUUUUUGCUAUCAAAUUUUUAUUUCCAAGGGGUCUUCCUUGCUCUCCAAUAAAUCCCUCCCGCUCUUUCUCUCCCUCUCUCCGUGAGGUUCUUUUUAUGAAAGCACCAUAGCAGUACUAUUCCUCUCUUAUCUCACUUUUUAUAGUAAUGAUAAUUUUUAAAAAGCUCUCUCUUUCUCCUUUUUAUCUCUCUUUUCUCCAAGUUCCCUUUCUGUUUAGUUUGUUUGUUUUUUGUUUUUUGAGACAGGGUCUCCUGACGUAGUUCAGGCUGGCCUUGAAUUCAUAGCAUCCUGCCUCAGCGUCUCAAGUGCUGGGACCACAAGCAAUAUCUGUAGAUAAUUUCUCUUGCCUGUGCCGAUUCAUAAAUAGGCCCACUCCUAAAUAGGAAUGUCUUAACUCAGGGCAUAAACUUGGCUGCUGGUUUUGAGGAAGCUUGGGUGGGGUGGGGACUGGGAAUUCCCUUGUCUAGUAUGUUGUUUUGAGCAUAGAAUUGUAACCUGCUGUCACCCCUGGCUAGUGUCUCCAGAAAUAAAACAAUUUUCCCAAAUGUUGGGUGGAGAUAGUUGCCUGAUUGUGCGGAUAAGGGACAGACAUCUGGGGAUAAAACUACUACUUUUCUAAGUAGCUAAUUUUCUAGUGUUCAGUUUUCUGUACCCUUUGCCUUCAGAGGUGCUGGGGCCUACACUUUCUAAGCCUUUUCAGGACUCUGUCAGGACUUGGCUUACUUUUUUGGGGGGUUUAUGACUCCGGAUAUGCUUCCUCCAUGCAUUUAAUAUCCAUCUUUUUUCAGUCUAUUAAAGCAGUUAUCACCUGACUGCUUCCAGAUGACAAAAUUUGCUGACUCUUGCAUCUGUAUUUGUCACUGCUCUAUCUUUGUUCAUGUGAAUUUUUAUGUUUAAAAAAACUUCUUUGCUGUCAUUCUAGUGGAGGUUUAGGACAGAAUGCAUAAAGAUAUGUUCAGUCAUCCUUUCUAAAAGAAAUCAAAAGCAUCUGCAGUAUGUCCUUGGACUUAGAAGUAGCACUCUUAUCUUGGUUAUCAAAGCCAGCUUCCUCAGGCAUAUUGUGCAGUGGAUGGAUGUAUCAUCUUGGAAAUAAAAAAUGACAGAU